UACGGAGGGUGCAAGCGUUAAUCGGAAUUACUGGGCGUAAAGCGCACGCAGGCGGUUGGAUAAGUUAGAUGUGAAAGCCCCGGGCUCAACCUGGGAAUUGCAUUUAAAACUGUCCUGCUAGAGUCUUGUAGAGGGGGGUAGAAUUCCAGGUGUAGCGGUGAAAUGCGUAGAGAUCUGGAGGAAUACCGGUGGCGAAGGCGGCCCCCUGGACAAAGACUGACGCUCAGGUGCGAAAGCGUGGGGAGCAAACAGG
Molecule: ribosomal RNA, 253 nt
Filed under: uncultured bacterium
Lineage: Bacteria
Description: partial 16S ribosomal RNA
Rfam family: Bacterial small subunit ribosomal RNA
Source: RNAcentral